GAUGAAGAACGUAGCGAAAUGCGAUAAGUAAUGUGAAUUGCAGAAUUCAGUGAAUCAUCGAAUCUUUGAACGCACAUUGCGCCCCCUGGUAUUCCGGGGGGCAUGCCUGUCCGAGCGUCAUUGCUGCCCUCAAGCACGGCUUGUGUGUUGGGCCGCCGUCCCCGGUUUCCCCCGGGGACGGGCCCGAAAGGCAGCGGCGGCACCGCGUCCGAUCCUCGAGCGUAUGGGGCUUUGUCACCCGCUCUGUAGGCCCGGCCGGCGCCAGCCGACACCCAACUUUAUUUCUAAGGUUGACCUCGGAUCAGGUAGGGAUACCCGCUGAACUUAAGCAUAUCAAUAAGCGGAGGA
Molecule: unclassified non-coding RNA, 348 nt
Filed under: soil metagenome
Description: partial contains 5.8S ribosomal RNA, internal transcribed spacer 2, and large subunit ribosomal RNA
Rfam family: 5.8S ribosomal RNA (bases 1-120)
Source: RNAcentral